RNAcentral lists this ribosomal RNA (253 nucleotides) under uncultured bacterium. RNAcentral's name for it is "partial 16S ribosomal RNA". It matches the Rfam family "Bacterial small subunit ribosomal RNA", at positions 524 to 776 of the family's 1533-position model. The record is from RNAcentral.
UACAGAGGGGGCAAGCGUUGUUCGGAAUUACUGGGCGUAAAGGGCGCGUAGGUGGCCUUCUAAGUUGAACGUGAAAUCCCUGGGCUCAACCCAGGAACUGCGUCCAAGACUGGGAGGCUUGAAUCCGGGAGAGGGAUGCGGAAUUCCUGGUGUAGCAGUGAAAUGCGUAGAUAUCAGGAGGAACGCCAAUGGCGAAGGCAAGUCUCUGGACAGUUCCUGACGCUCAUGCACGAAGGCCAGGGGAGCAAACGGG